Molecule: ribosomal RNA, 700 nt
Filed under: uncultured bacterium
Lineage: Bacteria
Description: bacterial SSU rRNA
Rfam family: Bacterial small subunit ribosomal RNA
Source: RNAcentral
UUNUGGACGAAAACUGACGCUGAGGCGCGAAAGCCAGGGGAGCGAACGGGAUUAGAUACCCCGGUAGUCCUGNCCGUAAACGAUGGGUACUAGGUGUAGGAGGUAUCGACCCCUUCUGUGCCGGAGUUAACGCAAUAAGUGCCCCGCCUGGGGAGUACGACCGCAAGGUUGAAACUCAAAGGAAUUGACGGGGGCCCGCACAAGCGGUGGAGUAUGUGGUUUAAUUCGACGCGACGCGAAGAACCUUACCAGGUCUUGACAUUGAUGGACAGAACCAGAGAUGGUUCCUCUUCUUCGGAAGCCAGAAAACAGGUGGUGCACGGUUGUCGUCAGCUCGUGUCGUGAGAUGUUGGGUUAAGUCCCGCAACGAGCGCAACCCCUAUCUUAUGUUGCCAGCACUUUGGGUGGGGACUCAUGAGAGACUGCCGCAGACAAUGCGGAGGAAGGCGGGGAUGACGUCAAAUCAUCAUGCCCCUUAUGACCUGGGCUACACACGUACUACGAUGGGAGUUAAUAGACGGAAGCGAGAUCGCGAGAUGGAGCAAACCCGAGAAACACUCUCUCAGUUCGGAUCGUAGGCUGCAACUCGCCUACGUGAAGUCGGAAUCGCUAGUAAUCGCAGGUCAGCAUACUGCGGUGAAUACGUUCCCGGGCCUUGUACACACCGCCCGUCACACCACGAAGGUCGGAAGUGCCCAAA